RNAcentral lists this ribosomal RNA (245 nucleotides) under uncultured archaeon. Its description in RNAcentral is "partial 16S ribosomal RNA". It matches the Rfam family "Archaeal small subunit ribosomal RNA", at positions 380 to 638 of the family's 1478-position model. The record is from RNAcentral.
UUCGGAGAAUCGAUAACCAUUUCGAUCUGGCAAUCACCCGAACUGGGUGAUUCUCGAAUUUUCGGUUCUUCGAACCGUAAAUAACCGCGCCCCGAGUGGUAGUCACGUUUAUUGGGCCUAAAGCGUCCGUAGCUGGUUUGGUAAGUCUCUGGUGAAAUCCGUUAGUAGACUAACGGACGGGCUGGAGAUACUACCAGGCUCGAGACCGGGAGAGGCUGAGGGUAUUCCACGGGUAAGAGUAAAAU